RNAcentral lists this ribosomal RNA (1236 nucleotides) under metagenome. RNAcentral describes it as "bacterial SSU rRNA". It matches the Rfam family "Bacterial small subunit ribosomal RNA", at positions 8 to 1235 of the family's 1533-position model. The record is from RNAcentral.
AGAGUUUGAUCCUGGCUCAGGAUGAACGCUAGCUACAGGCUUAACACAUGCAAGUCGAGGGGAAACGAUAUUGGAAGCUUGCUUCCGAUAGGCGUCGACCGGCGCACGGGUGAGUAACGCGUAUCCAACCUGCCCAUCACUUGGGGAUAACCUUGCGAAAGUAAGACUAAUACCCAAUGACGUCUCUAGAAGACAUCUGAAGGAGAUUAAAGAUUUAUCGGUGAUGGAUGGGGAUGCGUCAGAUUAGCUUGUUGGCAGGGUAACGGCCCACCAAGGCUACGAUCAGUAGGGGUUCUGAGAGGAAGGUCCCCCACAUUGGAACUGAGACACGGUCCAAACUCCUACGGGAGGCAGCAGUGAGGAAUAUUGGUCAAUGGACGAGAGUCUGAACCAGCCAAGUAGCGUGCAGGAUGACGGCCCUAUGGGUUGUAAACUGCUUUUAUAAGGGAAUAAAGUGAGCCUCGUGAGGCUUUUUGCAUGUACCUUAUGAAUAAGGACCGGCUAAUUCCGUGCCAGCAGCCGCGGUAAUACGGAAGGUCCGGGCGUUAUCCGGAUUUAUUGGGUUUAAAGGGAGCGUAGGCCGGAGAUUAAGCGUGUUGUGAAAUGUAGACGCUCAACGUCUGCACUGCAGCGCGAACUGGUUUCCUUGAGUACGCACAAAGUGGGCGGAAUUCGUGGUGUAGCGGUGAAAUGCUUAGAUAUCACGAAGAACUCCGAUUGCGAAGGCAGCUCACUGGAGCGCAACUGACGCUGAAGCUCGAAAGUGCGGGUAUCGAACAGGAUUAGAUACCCUGGUAGUCCGCACGGUAAACGAUGGAUGCCCGCUGUUGGUCUGAAUAGGUCAGCGGCCAAGCGAAAGCAUUAAGCAUCCCACCUGGGGAGUACGCCGGCAACGGUGAAACUCAAAGGAAUUGACGGGGGCCCGCACAAGCGGAGGAACAUGUGGUUUAAUUCGAUGAUACGCGAGGAACCUUACCCGGGCUUGAAUUGCAGAGGAAGGAUUUGGAGACAAUGACGCCCUUCGGGGCCUCUGUGAAGGUGCUGCAUGGUUGUCGUCAGCUCGUGCCGUGAGGUGUCGGCUUAAGUGCCAUAACGAGCGCAACCCCUCUCCUUAGUUGCCAUCAGGUUAAGCUGGGCACUCUGGGGACACUGCCACCGUAAGGUGUGAGGAAGGUGGGGAUGACGUCAAAUCAGCACGGCCCUUACGUCCGGGGCUACACACGUGUUACAAUGGCA